UGCUUACAAUCUUGCAGGUCGGUGAGC
RNAcentral lists this small RNA (27 nucleotides) under Bombyx mori (domestic silkworm). RNAcentral's name for it is "ovarian small RNA-8639". The record is from RNAcentral. Lineage: Eukaryota; Metazoa; Arthropoda; Insecta; Lepidoptera; Bombycidae.